CUAAGUGGGCUAAGUUUAAUUGAGGUUGACAUUUCUUAUCUUUGCUGCGUUUUGGGGAAUUUACCUUUUCAAUUUGCUUACCCUUUUCAUCUUUUGAUCAUCUUUUGUCUAAAGUUCAUUUGUCGUUAUUAUUUAAUUUUCUACUAGACUUUCUCAUCCUGCAAAGCAUUUCCCACAUCCCAAGAUAUUACUUUGCCCAUUUCUUAAUUCUAUUUUUAUAAAAAAAAUUACUUCCUAUUAAAUUUUUAUUAAUUCAUCAGGAUGUCUUCCUGUAAUAUUUUACAAAAGAGCCUGUUAAUUUGGGGUCAUUGCCUUUCAAUCCUCUUGAGAGCCAUAGACUCGAUUAGAACAACCAUGAC
This 359-nucleotide long non-coding RNA is filed under the name Manihot esculenta (cassava). Its description in RNAcentral is "long non-coding RNA (MESC_LNC002619)". The record is from RNAcentral. Lineage: Eukaryota; Viridiplantae; Streptophyta; Magnoliopsida; Malpighiales; Euphorbiaceae.